This 253-nucleotide ribosomal RNA is filed under the name uncultured bacterium. RNAcentral's name for it is "partial 16S ribosomal RNA". It matches the Rfam family "Bacterial small subunit ribosomal RNA", at positions 524 to 776 of the family's 1533-position model. The record is from RNAcentral.
GACGAACCGUGCAAACGUUAUUCGGAAUCACUGGGCUUAAAGAGUUCGUAGGCGGCGCGUUAGGUGGGGUGUGAAAUCCCUCGGCUUAACCGAGGAAUUGCGCUCCAAACCGGCGUGCUUGAGGAAGGUAGAGGUGAGCGGAACUGAUGGUGGAGCGGUGAAAUGCGUUGAUAUCAUCAGGAACACCGGAGGCGAAGGCGGCUCACUGGGCCUUUUCUGACGCUGAGGAACGAAAGCCAGGGUAGCGAACGGG